RNAcentral lists this ribosomal RNA (358 nucleotides) under uncultured bacterium. RNAcentral describes it as "bacterial SSU rRNA". It matches the Rfam family "Bacterial small subunit ribosomal RNA", at positions 8 to 353 of the family's 1533-position model. The record is from RNAcentral.
AGAGUUUGAUCAUGGCUCAGGAUGAACGCUAGCUACAGGCUUAACACAUGCAAGUCGAGGGGAAACGACAGUCGAAAGCUUGCUUUUGAUGGGCGUCGACCGGCGCACGGGUGAGUAACGCGUAUCCAACCUGCCCACCACUUGGGGAUAACCUUGCGAAAGUAAGACUAAUACCCAAUGAUAUCUCUAGAAGACAUCUGAAAGAGAUUAAAGAUUCAUCGGUGAUGGAUGGGGAUGCGUCUGAUUAGCUUGUUGGCGGGGUAACGGGCCCACCAAGGCAACGAUCAGUAGGGGUUCUGAGAGGAAGGUCCCCCACAUUGGAACUGAGACACGGUCCAAACUCCUACAGGAGGCAGCA